RNAcentral lists this ribosomal RNA (1738 nucleotides) under Vahlkampfiidae sp. SG-2014. RNAcentral describes it as "bacterial SSU rRNA". It matches the Rfam family "Eukaryotic small subunit ribosomal RNA", at positions 45 to 1688 of the family's 1831-position model. Lineage: Eukaryota; Heterolobosea; Eutetramitea; Acrasida; Vahlkampfiidae. The record is from RNAcentral.
UAAGCCAUGCACGUGUAAGAUCGUCUUGAAUAGCAAUAUUUACCGGCAAUCUGUGGAAAGCUCAUUAUAACAGUUACAAACUUGGCUUUCUAGCUUAAAGUUAUAAGGAUAACACAGUCAAAUGCAGUGAUAAUACUUGAACCAAAGCUAAUGAAUUGUAUAGUUAGCGAACAAUAGCGAGUAAGGGAAAAUACGCUAUAGCAUCUUUUUUGGAUCGAUUGACCUCUUUGAGGCCUAGGAGAAGUAUUUCUUACUUAUCAUGCUAGUUGUUUCAGUAAGGGUGAAACAAGGCCGUCACGGGUACGGAAAAUUGGGGUUUGACACCGGAGAGGGAGCCUGAGAAAUGGCUACCACAUCUAAGGAUGGCAGCAGGCGCGAAAAUUACCCAAUCCUAACAUUUGGGAGGUAGUGACAAGAAAUAACGUCCUUCCAUUCAUGGAAGGGUACCGCAAGGUUUGGAAUGGUUCUAGUUCAAAUUUCUAUUAGAGUAACAAUUGGAGGACAAGUCUGGUGCCAGCACCCGCGGUAAUUCCAGCUCCAAAAGCAUAUACUAAAAUUGCUGUAGUUAAAACGCUCGUAGUUUAUACAAGGGAUGUAAUUUGUAUGUUUCAGAUUAUUGCUAGUUGUUGGCAAACCGUUUAUCGAUUUGUUAAUAGCCAAGCGUAGUCUUUGCUUGGUCUCCAAGUAAGCACGUUAGUGCCAAGGGUUUUGGGUCUCUUCUUACCAAAAAGUCUUGGCAUGUGUGGGGCAUAGAUUAUGUUCUGAUUCGAACCGUGAACAAAUUAAAGUGUUUAAAGCGGGCAUUGUACGUUCUUUGAACGUUUUGCUUGAAUAAUUUAGCAUGGGACUCAAUUUCCUUGCAAAAGGAUAAGAAAAAGGAGCCAGGAAGAGGACUCUGGUAUUGCGCGUUUAGAGGUGAAAUUCCGACAUCUUCGCAGGACGAACGGAGGCGUAGGCUGUCAUUGCCCAUCACAUCUCUAUUGAUCAGGAACGAAAGUCAGGGGAUCGAAGAUGAUUAGAUACCGUCGUAGUCCUGACCGUAAACGAUACUAACUCGAGUUUGUAUGUAACAGUUUUUCAAAAAUUGAUACAGAAUCCAAGGGAAACCGUUAAGUCUUUGGGUUCUGGGGGGAGUAUAGUCGCAAGGCCGAAACUUAAAGGAAUUGACGGAAAGACACCACCAGGAGUGGAGUUUGCGGCUUAAUUCGACUCAACGCGGGAAAACUCACCAGGAUAGGACAGAAUGAGGAUUGACAGGUUGAAUAUGGUCCUUUCUUGAUUUUUUGGAAGGUGGUGCAUGGCCGUUCUUAGUUCGUGGAGUGAUCUGUCUACUUAAUUGUGUUAACGAACGAGACCUUAACCUGUUAACUAGGCACUAGUUGAAUUUUAUUCAUGGGUUUCUUACGAAAUCUAGGUCAUUCGGGUUUUUAAUCCGAGCUUCUUAAAGGGACAAUACUGUGUAUUUUAUAUUUUAGCGUAGGGAAGUUUAAGGCAAUAACAGGUCUGUGAUGCCCUGAGAUAUCCUGGGCGGCACGCGUACUACAAUGUCAUUGACAACAGGCUUUCCGCUUCGGCGGGCCUCUACCAAAAUGUAGGGGAAAACGUGUCAAACACUUAUAUGACUGGGAUAGCUGUUUGUAAUUACAUCUUAAACGAGGAAUUCCUAGUAAGCGCAAGUCAUCAUCUUGCAUUGAUUACGUCCCUGUCUUUUGUACACACCGCCCGUCGCUCCUACCGA